Nylanderia fulva is the source of this 1277-nucleotide long non-coding RNA. RefSeq lists it as uncharacterized. The record is from RefSeq and is a predicted model, not a curated record. NCBI's taxonomy places the organism in Eukaryota, Metazoa, Arthropoda, Insecta, Hymenoptera, Formicidae.
CGACCUCUUUGAAAAUAUAGUCUCCUAAUAGCGAACUCCUAAUAGCUCUUCGUACAACAUGUUCGCCUGUUAACUCAAAAUAAUUUUUCGGACAUUUUAGAAACAUUAUUGCCGCAUUAUCGCGCGAUUACCUCUUUGCAAAAUAUAUUCUCCUAUUAAUUCAAACUCGAUUUUUCAAGCACAUUUGAAGGCUUGACCGCAUGAGACAUAACCUGUUUUAGUUUAAAUAACGCAAAAUAAUUUUGACGAGUUAAUGAUGCUAUUAUGAGAAAAAUUUACAACAAUAAAAAAUGCAAGGUCGAGCUUGUUACGUUGUUACAUGCAGUUACAUGGAGACGUUUACUAAGUGGAAUAAAAUAAACAGUUUUCUGCCACCAACUAUAAUAGUAACAAAAGAGUUGACGGAAGCAAUGGAAGAGUCUUGGUUGCAUCGCAUACUUUACAAUUCUGUUUUACAAUUGGAUGGAAAUUGAAAAUAUAGAACUUCAUCAUAGCAAAUAGCAGCCUUUAAUCAGAAAUUCAGCCCAGAAUCUCCUUUUCGUGCAACAUGAUAUGAAUAUCAAUGUCAUGUAUGGAAGAUGCAAUUCUUAUAAGGAUACUCAUAUGUAUGGAUUACAGAGGUGCAGAUGUAUCACGUAGACAUUUUUCUGAUUAUUACAAAAGUCAGUUUUUCCAUACAAAUUGUGCGAUCGCAUUAACAAAUUGGAUGCAUUGCUUUGAUCAAUUAAAGACAAAUUUCUGUCACAUGGAUUUAAAUUAUGUGGCUGACAGGAGAAAACGCUUGUUGUUAGGAAGCUAAAACAACAAACAGAGACAUAUAUACCUUGCAGGUGAUGAAUGUUGAAUAAUACUUUUGAUCACUUAUUCCAAUCUGAGAGAGUUGUCCGGAACUAUUGGAACCCAUAAUGUUCAUGUUCAAAAAACGAUCAUUAGGAAAUUCAGAAGAUACUUAUGAUGAAAAUUAUUUAAGGGAAACAAAACAUAGACGUGGAAUGAAGGAAUCUUUAAAACAUUUGUCAGAAAUGCGAAUGAAAAAGAGAUACUGCAUAAAGUUUAUCUAAUCGCGAUUUAGAGGCCCUUCUCGAAGAUUUUAUAGUCCUACAACAAUUAUUAGGUCUUGAUCAAGCCGUAUUACAAGAAGUAUUGAACAAUAUUCCAAUGAAGAUUUCAAGAGAAAAAUAUAGUUGCGUGCUUUUAAUCGGAUUGGAUUUGAAGUUUAAAGACAGAAUAAAAACGCUGAAUUUUCGAAAAAAAAAAUAAAAUUUAUACAUAUAUGA